GUGGGGAGUGCUGGAUCCUGGGCUGUGUCCCCCGGCGCCCUGGGGUCUGGGGCCUGCUCUGCUGGAUUCGAGCUCCUGGAGCCGCGCAGCCCCCU
RNAcentral lists this microRNA precursor (95 nucleotides) under Canis lupus familiaris (dog). RNAcentral's name for it is "mir-8799 microRNA precursor family". It matches the Rfam family "mir-8799 microRNA precursor family". The record is from Rfam by way of RNAcentral. Lineage: Eukaryota; Metazoa; Chordata; Mammalia; Carnivora; Canidae.